RNAcentral lists this small RNA (537 nucleotides) under Rattus norvegicus (Norway rat). RNAcentral's name for it is "uncharacterized LOC103694952". Lineage: Eukaryota; Metazoa; Chordata; Mammalia; Rodentia; Muridae. The record is from RNAcentral.
UCUCAAGUAUCGAGGUGUUCCUGUUUAGACACCAUCCACCUUAGCUUUUGAGACGGGGUCUCUCGUUGGAACCUGGGACUCACUGAUUAGGACAUGCUAACCAGCCAGAAAGUCCCAGAGAUAACUGACCUGCCGCUGCCCUCCCAGCACUGAAGAUUACAACGGCAUACCAGCCCGCAGAUGAACACUCUUAGAAAAAGAAAAUCCUGUAAUAAAGCAGAAAAGUGCAGUGGAGGUUUAAGAAAAGGGUUGUGUGUAGGAAGAGGAAGAGACGCACAUGUAUGUGCAGAAGCAGCUUUUAAAAGAUGAACAAAGACAUCAAAAUGCCGGAGAGAACACGAUGAGCACAGCCUGCUGUGUCCACAGCCUACUGUGUCUGACAGCAACACAGCUUCUCAGAGGAAGGGAUCAAAGGUUCCAUUCUUCAAACUGUGCCACACCUAUACCUCACCUCUCUCCAUUUUCCUGUCACCUGCCGGGUGUUCACACAGCAACCACAUAUUAUCCACAGAGAAACCCAGUCUCCCAAAACUAAAC